AAACUCUACCAUCCUCGCCCUUGAUGCACCUAACUUGGUCAAGAUCACGCGCCUUCCUUUCCCUUUCUUUAGCUAACCUGAAUAACUUCCUGUCCCGCCUUUCUCCCCUAAUUCCUCGUACAUGCGACCAAACGCCGCUUUUUUUGCUCCCAUAACCGCCAUCUUUGCUUCUUUCCUCGCCGCUUUGUAGAUCUCCCUGUUCGCUCUCCGAUCUUCCUCGCUUGUGCUCCCUGCCAUCUUUGCAAACGCCACCUUCUUCGCCUCCACUUUACCUUGGACUACAUCGUUCCACCACCAGUCACCCUGAUGUCUGCCUGAAUAGCCUUUGGCUACCCCGAGCAUAUCUCGUGCUACCUCCCUAACCAAGUUCGCCGUCUCUGACCACAUAUCAUCCACUUCUCCAGAACACCCCAUCUAAUCCGCGGUUGUCCCCGAGCACCCCUCCUCUUCCUCUUCACCCAGAGACCGACAUCCAUCACUAGGAGUCUAUGAAGN
Molecule: long non-coding RNA, 495 nt
Filed under: Nicotiana benthamiana
Lineage: Eukaryota; Viridiplantae; Streptophyta; Magnoliopsida; Solanales; Solanaceae
Description: long non-coding RNA (NBEN_LNC039846)
Source: RNAcentral